Non-coding RNA from Picea glauca (white spruce), 119 nucleotides. NCBI's taxonomy places the organism in Eukaryota, Viridiplantae, Streptophyta, Pinopsida, Pinales, Pinaceae. The record is from Rfam.
UAAUGUAAUUUUUAUGGUGUUAAUUCAUUGGAUAAUAUUAGAACUCCACACUUAAGCAUGCUUGGGCUAGAGUAGUACUGGGAUGGGUGACUUCCCAAGAAUUCCUAGUGUUUCACAUG